AGAAAUUUCAUUCUUCUACUAAUCUCACUUGUUGUUAUGGAUUAUUCACAUAAACUUUGAAUUUCUCCCAGGCUACCUGUAAAAUGAUGUAGGAUCUUCAAAACAAAUGCAUUAACUAUUCCCCUGGCCUGGGAUAUAUAUGUAUUCUCAUCAUGAAGAGGAAAUAUUGACAUAGGACUUUAGUGAGAGCUGCUAAUUUCUCUGAAAUUGCCAUCAAGUGAUUUUGUAAUGCUGACUUCUACUUGCUGAAGGACAGUGAUAGCUGGAGGUGAGAGGUAUAAGUUAGUAUCAAGAAAAAUUUAAGCAGAAUUCACAGAAGAAACUGAAUUUGGAUUGAGAUUGAAGGAUCACAUCUGGAGAGAGGAGAUAAUGGAGAAAGAAUGCACAUGAAAGUCAACAGGCUGGCUGUUGGGAAGAAAAUAUAGACAUAAGUAGUGUGAAGCAAGGAAAAGCUGGAAUCCUUGAGGACAAACAAGAAACCUUGAAAACUAGCUUAUACCCAUGCUUGUCUCUCACAACCUCAAUAAUGGUAAUGUAG
This is a long non-coding RNA of Callithrix jacchus (white-tufted-ear marmoset), 538 nucleotides long. NCBI's taxonomy places the organism in Eukaryota, Metazoa, Chordata, Mammalia, Primates, Cebidae. The record is from Ensembl.